RNAcentral lists this ribosomal RNA (347 nucleotides) under uncultured bacterium. Its description in RNAcentral is "bacterial SSU rRNA". It matches the Rfam family "Bacterial small subunit ribosomal RNA", at positions 917 to 1267 of the family's 1533-position model. The record is from RNAcentral.
GGGCCCGCACAAGCGGUGGAGCAUGUGGUUUAAUUCGAUGAUACGCGAGGAACCUUACCAGGGCUUAAAUGUAAGUUGCAUAAGUUAGAGAUAGCUUUUUCUUCGGACUACUUACAAGGUGCUGCAUGGUUGUCGUCAGCUCGUGCCGUGAGGUGUCAGGUUAAGUCCUAUAACGAGCGCAACCCCUGUUGUUAGUUGCCAUCGAGUAAUGUCGGGAACUCUAACAAGACUGCCGGUGCAAACCGUGAGGAAGGUGGGGAUGACGUCAAAUCAUCACGGCCCUUACGUCCUGGCUACACACGUGCUACAAUGGCUAGGACAGACGGCUGCAAACCAGCGAUGGGGAG